This 253-nucleotide ribosomal RNA is filed under the name uncultured bacterium. RNAcentral's name for it is "partial 16S ribosomal RNA". It matches the Rfam family "Bacterial small subunit ribosomal RNA", at positions 524 to 776 of the family's 1533-position model. The record is from RNAcentral.
UACGUAGGGUGCGAGCGUUGUCCGGAAUUAUUGGGCGUAAAGAGCUUGUAGGCGGUUUGUCGCGUCUGCCGUGAAAAUCCGGGGCUCAACCCCGGACUUGCGGUGGGUACGGGCAGACUAGAGUGUGGUAGGGGAGACUGGAAUUCCUGGCGUAGCGGUGAAAUGCGCAGAUAUCAGGAGGAACACCGGUGGCGAAGGCGGGACUCUGGGCCGAUACUGACGCUGAGGAGCGAAAGCGUGGGGAGCAAACAGG